CCGCAAUGCCGUGACACAUUCAGUAACAUACAUACUAUUAUAAUAUACAAUGUACAGUAUUUUAGUUAUAAAAUAUCCCAACAGUCCAUUUCCUGUCUGUGUGGUAUUUCUGAGUAAAGGAUUAUACAAAACAAGUCCUGAUUAAUGAGGAUCUACAAGAGAGUCUUCCCUCACCUCUUUUUUGUUGUGUUUUUUUUUCCCCUUUUCUGAUGGAGGAAGGGACUGUCAGGGGGAGGGGGAGACAUCCCACAUUGGAAAAGGUUAACCCAUAAAAAGCCAAAAAAAAAAAGGCAAGUAUCUAUUCUGCAGUAUAAACAUGAAUCACUGCAGAAAGUGUAAGCACACACCCAGACAUGCAAUUCAUACUCGAAAUAUGGGAUCUCACUGUAGCUGUGUGUAUAAACGCAAUGCUUGUGGCUAGAGAACAUUAGAAACAGUAUGAGUAAAAUUUAACAAACUGACAAACAUUCCAAUUGAUAGCAAAUAACGAAUGUUCCAAUUCAGAGGCUGACGUGGUUUCAAUAAAUUCCAGCUUGCAUUUGUAAGAGGAAUAAGGGCUUGCAGGGAAAAGACACUGCAGCAGCACCAGCAGAGACAUUCCUUGCAUAAGCAAAAAUCAUCUGUUCCCCUUCCUUUGAAAACCACAGCGGCCGCUCCAGAAGUGCUGACCGCCUCUGGAGAGAGAGAGAGAGAGAGAGAGAGAGAGAAAAUCCUCACAGUUAACUCUUUCCUUGCCAGGUAGUGUAUGGCAUCCCAGUGGUGAGCAAUGGUUUAG
This is a non-coding RNA of Pelobates cultripes (western spadefoot toad), 775 nucleotides long. NCBI's taxonomy places the organism in Eukaryota, Metazoa, Chordata, Amphibia, Anura, Pelobatidae. The record is from the annotation of a GenBank genome assembly.